CCACACACCAUUAUUCCGCGUCACCAACAUCGGCGACUCACACUCACUCCUCCACCUCUCGACCCAAAGAGGCCACACACACACACGAAUACCAUCGUCUCGCGUCACCAACAUCGGCGACUCAUGCUCAAUCCUCCACCUCUCGACCUAAAGAGGCCACACACACACACAAAUACCAUCGUCUCACGUCACCAACAUCGGCGACUCAUGCUCAACCCUCCACCUCUCGACCUAAAGAGGCCACACACACACACACAAAUACCAUCGUCUCGCGUCACCAACAUCGGCGACUCAUACUCACUCCUCCAUCUCUCGACCUCGUUGGGCCACGCACACACACAACAUUUCCACCUCCCGUCACCACCAUCCGUGACUCAUGCACCCUUCUACCCCUCUCGGCCUUGCUAGGCCACACUCACAUACAUAUCCCCUCCCUGCUCCACCAACAUCGGCAACUCAACCCGCCCCUACCAACGGCCUCCAAAUUCCCCCUCCCAAACCGCAUGCUCCCAUCUCUCCUUAUACCAUGCUAGUCCCAAGCGUUCUAACUUGCUAACUCCUACUGACCACAUUACUCCCCUUCUCCCAUCCAAUCCCCCUCAAAUCCUGUUUCCUAGUCCCCACUGCCGUACCUUCCAGCUCCCUUCCCUCUCCCACUGCCCCCUACCCGCUACCUCCCCCAUCCUCCUGCCUCCUCCCGGUUCCUAUACACUUUUGCCUACCUAGGGUGAUUAACCUCUCAGCUUGCACCGUUUCACACCACAUACACGCCCUCACCACCGUGCAUUUCGGGGAAACACAUCACCGCCUAUUAGCGGCUCCCUCCACAUCCUCACCCACGCACACACCACGCACACACCUCUUCUGUCCUCUUGAGUUUUUAUCCCACCCGCGCCCCUUAGAUUAUUCUCUCACAUCCUCCUCACUCUGUUCUACCCGCACCACCCCCAUCCUUCCCCACGGCUCCCCACACGCCUCCAACACCGCCAUACUUUCCAUUCCUUCCCCGAUCACCUCCGUGAGCGCGCGGGACAACCCCACGCUUACGGCCUACCUUCACUGCUCCACUCCGUCGCGCCAUUGCCGACGCCGCACCUGCACAAAAUUCUCUACACACACACACACCGCACCAACAGCUCAAAUUUUCACCGUACCUCCCGUUUCCAUCUUCCUUAUUCCUGCCGGUCGCGUCGUCCGUCCACGACCUCCUUCCCUCUCCCUUCUCGCUCCCCUCCACCCCGACUCUCUCCUCUCUCCUUCUGGAACUUUCCUCUUCUUCUUCGUCUCCGCUGUCCUCCUUCCCUCCUUUUCUCUUUUUCUCUUUUUCCUUUUCUUUCCCUUUUUUUUUUCUUUUUUUCUCUUCCUCCCUUCUCCCUUUCCCGACCUCCUUUUAUACUCUGCCAGCCUAUCCCAAAACGACGUCGUUUUCCUACAUCCCAAAACGACGUCGUUUUUCUUUCUUUCAAAACGACGUCGUUUUU
Molecule: long non-coding RNA, 1481 nt
Filed under: Carica papaya (papaya)
Lineage: Eukaryota; Viridiplantae; Streptophyta; Magnoliopsida; Brassicales; Caricaceae
Description: long non-coding RNA (CPAP_LNC007535)
Source: RNAcentral